AAAGAGUUGUUUAUAGCUUCAUUGUUGC
Molecule: non-coding RNA, 28 nt
Filed under: Rattus norvegicus (Norway rat)
Lineage: Eukaryota; Metazoa; Chordata; Mammalia; Rodentia; Muridae
Source: RNAcentral